CCUACGGGAGACAGCAGUAGGGAAUUUUCGGCAAUGGGGGGAACCCUGACCGAGCAACGCCGCGUGAACGAAGAAGUUAUUCGUAAUGUAAAGUUCUUUUAACAGGGAAGAAAGAGAAAUUUGACGGUACCUGAAGAAUAAGCUCCGGCUAACUACGUACCAGCAGCCGCGGUAAUACGUAGGGCGCGAGCGUUAUCCGGAUUUAUUGGGCGAAAAGGGUGCGUAGAUGGCAUAGUAAGUCUUUUGUAAAAAUGCUGGGCUAAACCCAGUAGGGCAAAAGAUACUGCAAAGCUAGAGUAUGACAGAGGCGAGUGGAACUACAUGUGUAGCGGUAAAAUGCGUAAAUAUAUGUAAGAACACCAGUGGCGAAGGCGGCUUGCUGGGUCGAUACUGACAUUGAGGCACGAAAGCGUGGGGAGCAAACAGGAUUAGAUACCCUUGUAGUC
Molecule: ribosomal RNA, 446 nt
Filed under: uncultured bacterium
Lineage: Bacteria
Description: partial 16S ribosomal RNA
Rfam family: Bacterial small subunit ribosomal RNA
Source: RNAcentral